AUUAAAUAUGUCAUUCAUUGAUUCUUAAAAAUUUCAGCUUUCAAACACAACAAAAUGCUCAGAAUUUGAUUUUUCUUUUUUUAGCGAUAAUUUCACCUGAUUUAUACAUUUUUCUUUCAAUCAUGAUUAACAAUUUGACACCUCCUAAAUCAGUUGCCCUUUUCCCAGAGAGAUUGGAGCUAAGAUGAGAUUAAAAAUUAAACAGAAAAAGCUUUACCUUGACAAUGACAAAAUAUUGAUAUUCUAUUGCACCAAUGUGCAUACACUCAACACAGCAACUGAAGAUGAACAACUUUGAUUCACUUUCUUUCAAUUCACCAUUAAAAUAAAUGUUUAUCUAUUUUUCUUUUUCUUUCUAGAAGAAAGCAAUCAUCAUAUUUUGCCUCUUCCCUUUUGCUCUUAUGCAAGGACCUUCAAGGUCACAUAUCAUCCAGCAUACAGUGGCAAACUACAAAGGAAAGAAGUGCCAAUUUCUGUACUCCCUUGUGAAUGGAGUAAAUAGAGCGAGAAGCUCUUAACCUCCUUUUUAAGCAUUGUUGACAAGACUUGCAGCUUUUUCCUAAUUUCUUAGAAAUGCUAUACUAGCUUCAUUGAAUAUAGUCUUCAUAGUAGUUGUCACUAAUCACAGAGACGAACCUCUCAAGCCAAGGAAGCUGAUGAAGAUCCUUCAUGGCAUCUACAUAUGAGUCUGUACGGUGGGGUGGGGAUUGAUAAGGAUGAUGAUCACUCAAACUGAAACCCCCAGCAAGAAAUCUUUGGAUCAGUGCCAGUUGUGAUCUCUCCUGGUCUGAGUAAGCAUCCACAAGCAUGGGCAGUGAGUUAAAAGUCUCCCAUGCCCAUUGUUCUGAUUCUUGGACAGACUGGCUAACCGAAUCUUCAGAGUUGUUUUCAUCCCAAAAAGCACAUUGACAGGUCUGUUGCCCAUCCCUGUAUUCAGCACCACAAGAAUAACAGAACUCAUGCCCGCACCAGCAGGUCAUAUGAUAACAACCUUGCAUGAGCUCAAUCAUCCUCCGGCACUGUUGGCAACGCCUCCACCUUUUAUUUUGUGCUAGACGAUGCAAGGUAAUGUCCACAGCAUCUCUCUCUUCCAGUGGGAGGUUCUGGAACUCUUCACAACUCAUCAAAGAAUGCCAAGGAACACCACAUUCCACACAGAUAAACCUUUGACAAACUGGGCACUCAACACAGCUGUUAUCAGACUGACUUGAUGAACUUGCUCUAGCUGAAAGACAUUCAUGGGGAUCAAGCAGGACAGAACAAUUUGGAUAUGGGCAGUAGAUUCUAUCUGAGUGGAGAACAUCAGCUUCUGCAAGGGCUUUCUCCAAACAUUCAUAUGAAGUGAGAGGCAAAAAAGAUCUGCAUUCUGUGCUGGAGAUGUAAUAUUUGCAUCCUAACUGAGGGCAUCUGAUUGGUACUUGAGAUGACUUUAUUUUUCCAUCAACAUAGGUUCUCAUACACUGUGAACAGAAUUUGUGAGAACAUUUCAUUGCAAUCAUCAUUGGUGAUAUCUUUUCCUCACAACAGAUGGAACAGUUGUCACGUGAUUUAUUUCCAUUGGCAGGAAAAGAGACAACCCCAACUGCUACUUGGGCUAAAUGCAAUGGCCUCUCAAGAUCAAAUAUGGGAAUGACUUUGAGUACAAAGGUUUCCAGGUUACUGGCAUGUUCAAGGAUCCUUUGCCUCAAAGCAAUCAGAAGCGGGAUCUCAACUUUUUCCUCGUGCAUCAUCUGAUCAUAUAACAUAUCAGAAUCAGUAAAAGCAUACACUCGGCGAAUGUUAUGCUGUAAAGCUUCAGCCAGACCAUCCAUAAGAGCCAAAUAGUCAGCAACUAAUUCCUCCACAUAGAAAUCCAGUUUCUUUUGUACCUGAAUGAGAGGAACAUUUCCUGUUCUUUCCAUGACAACACCAAUUCCAGAAAACCCAGAACCAGAGUCCCCUGGCUCGGCUAUAGAGAUGCCUUUAAAAAAACAUAUUCACUGAAAAUUCAUCAAGAAUUUCCUGCAGCUCUUCCUUCUCCAUUUCUUCAGGGUCCUUCCAUACUUCAUCAUCUCCACAACAACUACGAAACUCUUCCUCAUCUUCUUCCAAUUUUACUUCCAUGCGCAAAUCCACUGAAGGCACAUCACCAAAAGCAACCUGAUCCUUCAUCUUCAAGACAACCUUCAGUAAAACUCCCGAGAUAGUUCAGCAAAUGUUCAAAAUUCAAGAUUAACUUAUAUAAAACUCCAAGCAGAAGCCACUAACAGUCUAACACAUUAUCCGGCAACUCCGUGUUUGAGCUUCUAUUUCUUCGCAAAUCACAGGGAAAAAUUCAUACGGAAAUGUAAUCUCUCAGCUCCCCCAUGAUGAUGGUGGGUUAUCAGACCUCAUACCGUGCAGAGGGAAUUUAAUUCUGAUGAUUCUGUUAAGGUUACAGAAACCCUAAUCUGAACUAAUAUUAUGGCUUUAUUUUUCCCCUGUUUGGCUUGGAUUGUAUUAAGAAAGAUUAUCAAAUGAUUAAGAAAGAGCGAAGCAACAGCCUUAAUGUUUAUUGUUGGGGUAGCACAGAAGGAAAGGAAGGUUGCUUUGCUGGCAUUCUUGCUCGUUCCCUUGACUUUUUU
Molecule: unclassified non-coding RNA, 2603 nt
Filed under: Hevea brasiliensis (rubber tree)
Lineage: Eukaryota; Viridiplantae; Streptophyta; Magnoliopsida; Malpighiales; Euphorbiaceae
Source: RNAcentral